This is a non-coding RNA of Phalacrocorax carbo (great cormorant), 799 nucleotides long. NCBI's taxonomy places the organism in Eukaryota, Metazoa, Chordata, Aves, Suliformes, Phalacrocoracidae. The record is from RefSeq and is a predicted model, not a curated record.
CAGAAAGCUAUAAACACACAACACUUUCACUCAGAGUUGUAUGGAUUUUAGAAAACUUAGUCACCUACAGGAGGUAUACCACUUACUACUGCAGACUGAAGUUCUCCAAUACCAAGGGCAGGAACUGUCAAUACCACCAUCUAGCAGCAAUCUAAAAGGGCCACUCUGGACUGCCAGAUGCUACUUCAGGAGCUAAUUAACCCAUAUUGACAGGCUGUAAUAUCAAAUACAGCUAUUUCUGGCCCACAUAAUUUCCAAGAAACAAGUAAUCUUGAAUUCAAACUGUGGUACUAUCAUGUGUUUCUAAUUGUUGCUUGUGUUGCUGCAAAAAAAACCCAACCAACUAACCAAACAAAAAAUCCCAACCCACCUUUCUAUAUCCCCUAUUAGGAGCCCAGGCCAUGCUUUAACACUAUGGACCUUGCCAUAGAAGCCAGAGUCCUAACACUUAACCUGUUGAAUGUAGUCACAAUUCAACCUGAACACAAGAUAACAUGGCUAAGUGUGAUUCCCAGAGGAAAAAACAGCAGCAAUACAAAGCAACACAGUACUGAUGCAGACCUUAAGCACUGGAGUGCAAUAAGAUAAAGUGAACAAACCAAACUUACUGGACUUCAGCUGCAAAGCCGCUGGUGGAGAUGGGCAUAAAAAAAGCAGCCAUGAGUCCUCGAUGGAGCCCCCACAACUAGACUUUUCUGGCCAAAUAAGUUAUCCAGCUAUCAUUCUAGAUCUCAAGUGUUACCUAUACAGUUGACUACAAAGCAAGUUACUCUUUAUAAACAGUUUAAUUCCCGUGAAA